UGCGUAGGCGGUCUUGUAAGUCAGUCGUGAAAUCGCUGGGCUCAACCCAUGCAAUUGCGAUUGAUACUGCGAGACUUGAAUGGGGUUAAGGCAGGCGGAAUGUGGCAUGUAGCGGUGAAAUGCAUAGAUAUGCCAUAGAACACCGAUUGCGAAGGCAGCCUGCUGGGCCUUUAUUGACGCUGAGGCACGAAAGCGUGGGGAGCAAACAGGAUUAGAUACCCUGGUAGUCCACGCCCUAAACGAUGUUUACUUGCUGUUUGCCCUUUGGGGUGAGUGGCGUAGCGAAAGCGAUAAGUAAACCACCUGGGGAGUACGCCGGCAACGGUGAA
RNAcentral lists this ribosomal RNA (329 nucleotides) under uncultured bacterium. RNAcentral describes it as "bacterial SSU rRNA". It matches the Rfam family "Bacterial small subunit ribosomal RNA", at positions 568 to 898 of the family's 1533-position model. The record is from RNAcentral.